This is a non-coding RNA of Pelobates cultripes (western spadefoot toad), 4357 nucleotides long. The record is from the annotation of a GenBank genome assembly. NCBI's taxonomy places the organism in Eukaryota, Metazoa, Chordata, Amphibia, Anura, Pelobatidae.
GUUUGCAUAUAGCAUUUCUUUUGGAAUAUCUUUUUCCUUUACUAUGUUAUUAAACAAAUCUUUUAGAUGGACUAGCAGAAUAUCCUUAAAUUGUUGGAAAAAUACAACUACAGGUGAUCUGCAUUACGAGAAAAUCCCGCGAUUGGCGUUCUGGUGGCGGUAACUACAUACUUCACUAUUUAUAAGCAGAAAUAGAAGACUUUAACAUAUACCCUGAUUCACUCCUGAAGAAGUCCUGCAGCGGAUGAAAUGCGUAGGGUGGGAAAAACCAGGACAGCACUUAUUAUUAUUUUUAUUAGACUUUUAUUUUGAGUUUAAUGUUUUUCUUGUUUUUUUGCAUUUAUUAUUUUUAUCCUGUGAUGGCUGUUUUGUAUACCGGUCCCUACGAGAAGUGACUUCACUAUUGGGAACUCCUGAGUAUAUGAUACGCUGUAUUUUAUCUUUGAUCUUGUGAGUGCAACUUUAAUAAAUUUGUGUUAUUUAUCCUAUUGGUGCACUAGGGUUCCUGUGUUUUUCCCUCUGAUUUAAGGUUGGAAAGAAGAAUACCUGAAUUUUCUUCGAAUUCUAAAGAGUUCUACAUGUCUGCUUUGCACUUCUAUCUUGUGAGUGCAAUUUUUUUAUUAGUGUAUUAGUGGUGUUUUAAUUUACUACACCAUUUGUUUUUUUGUUUGUUUUGUUCUUAUAGAUUGUAUUUCUUAUGUACUAUUUUAAGAAGAGUUAAGGGAUCUUCUUACAAUCUCACAAGGGUAAAUUUAUUUUAUAUAAUUUUAUUCUACCCACUGGGGAGCAUGUGUGUUAUAAUACUCUUUAAUAUAUGGUUAUCUGUGCUGCCUGUGACCUGUAUGAAAGCUGGUGAAUCCUAGAACAAAACAAACUAAAGUUAUAUCUUUCAUUCUCAUACAAUAUGUACUCUGGGGACAUGCAUUUAAUCAAUUUAAAAGCUUCACUUCAAGUUACUUAAUGUCUCAGUAGUAAUGCCACUGUCCAGAGUGUCCGCUCGCUCCCUCAGUCCCUCUGCAAACGGCAGUCUCAGCCAGGUAGGUAAGGUGUCACACCUUAGUUAUAGCCGCACUAUCUCCUCCACUAGCAUCCUAGUCCCUCUGCAAUCUCCAGGCAGGGUAAGGUGUUGCUGCACUCUCAGCUUCACUCGCUUCUAUCCCCCUUCCUUCCAUGUCUCUUCCUUCCCUUCAUCCAUAUCUCGUUCCCUCAUUCAUCCAUGUCUCUCCCCAAAUUCCAUCUCUCUGUUCCUCUUCCAUGUCCUUCCCCAUUUCAUUCAUAUCUCGCUCCCAUGUCCUCCUCUCAUCCAAGUCUCCCUCCCAUGUCCCUUGGCUCCUAUCCAUGUCCCCUCCCAUGUCCCUUACCUCCUAUCCAUGUCCCUCUCCCAUAUCCCACACCCAUCCGUGUCUCUCUCCCGCCUCAUGUCCCCCACACAUCCGUGUCUUUCUCCCGCCUCACGUCCCCCACCCAAACGUGUCUAUCUCUCCGCCAUGCCCCUCCCAUGUCUCUCUCUCUACCCCCCUUGUCCCCAUCCCAUGUCACUCUCUCUCCCCUUGUCCUCAUCCCAUGUCACUCUCUCUCCCCUUGUCCCCAUCCCAUGUCACUCUUUCUCCCCAUGUCCCCCUCCCAUGUCACUCUCUUCCCAUGACCCCUCCCAUGUCACUCUCUCUCCCCAUGUCCCCUGCCCUGCUUUUCUGUCCCCCAUGCCACCCUCCUCUGUCUUUCUUUCCCCCAUGCCACCCUCCCCUGUCUUUCUGCCCCCAUGCCUUUCUCUCUCAUGCCACCCUCCCCUGUCUUUCUGUCCCCCUAUGCCACUCUCCCCAGUCUCUCUGUCCCCAUGCCAUCCUCCCCUGUCUUUCUGUCCCACAUGCCCUCUGCCCUGUUUCUCUGUCCCCAUGCCACCCUCCCCUGUCUUUCUUUCCCCAUGCCCCCUCUCUCUGUCCCCCAUGCCACCAUCCCCUGUCUUUCUGUCUCCUAUGCCACCAUCCCCUGUCUCUCUGACCCCCAUGCCCCCAUCUCUGUCUUUCUGUCCCCCAUGCCAACCUCCCCUGUCUCCUGUCUCUGCCCAUGCCCCCCUCCCCUGUCUCUCUGAUGGCUGCCCUCCCUGCCAUUUUACCUGUUGGAACAGGAAAGGGGGGCAGCCUUUCGCUGACUCUGCACUCUCACACUGAGCGCAUGGUAGUCACAUGACACCCGGCGCUCCUACGCAGAACGGAAGGAGGGGGAGGAGCUUUCCCCUCCUAGUGAGUACCGUGUGUGCGGUUCUCUUACGGAGCCGCACGCUUCCCUGGGGUCCCUUGGGCGUCGGCCGAGCGGGGAGCGCAAAAGUCACCUGUCACACUGACACUUGAUUUUUGCACCACCCCCCUCGGCCUGCGCCAACCCCUUGGUACGCCCCUGCCCAUGAGUGCCUUUAUAUCUGGUUUGGUGCUAUUUUGAUAUUGACUCAGCUAUUUCCUGACCACGCUGAUUUCUGCUUCCCUUGACUCAGCUCUGGUAUUUUGUUUUGAUUGUUCUCUGGUUCCCUUUGACUUAUGCCUGUUUUUGACUAUUCUCUUUAUAUUACUUUCUAAGGACCGGUUUAGGUAUUUUUAUUUUUACCUAUUGGAGGGUUAUUAUUCUGUGUGUUGGGCCACUCCUUUUUGUGACAUUACAACAGGACCAAUAUGGAUCCUGCAGGUAUUAACCCCCCGGCAGUCUCUCGUGAUAUGCAUUUGGAUGGGCUUGACUACAGGAUGGAUCAGUUUGCUCAGGCUUUACAAACGUUGUUUAACCGUUCAGCGAACAUGCAGCCCGAAGGUCAAGCCCAAUCCUUAACUCCUAUUGCUGCUACAUUAGACUCAUAUGCCCGCAGCAAUAAUAACAGGCAUUUUCCUUUGCACUAUGGAGGGGAUCCAGUAGCCUGUAGAGGGUUUUUGAAUCAAGUAAGCAUCCACUUUGAGCUUUCACCUAGAUCCUACCCUACUGAUAGAGCCAAAAUUGGAUUUAUGAUUACCCUUCUUACUGAUAAGGCUCUUGCCUGGGCUAAUCAACUUUGGGAAAAAGACAGUGUAUUGGUUUAUGACUAUAAGGAGUUUGUCGUUGCAUUUAAUCGUACUUUUGAUCCACCAGGGAGACAAGCCAAUGCAGCAAGAUCUCUGUUAAGAUUGAAACAAGGGAAUCGUUCCUUAGUAGAUUAUGCCUUGGAAUUUCGCACUUUAGCAGCAGAAAUUAAAUGGAAUAAUCCAGCCUUUGUAGACGCAUUCCUGAAUGGCUUAUGCGAUUCUAUUUUGGAUGAGGUGGCUGCUCGAGAAUUACCUGAGAAUCUAGAGGAACUCAUCUUUUACCUAUCCGUUAUAGAUGAGAGACUAAGACUUGCUGUAAGAUUAGCUCCUACUUUUCCUACAGAUUCUAUGGCUUUAGCUAUUCCUGAAUCCAUGCAGUUAGGUGUAACUAAACUGUCUGAGGCAGAAAGAAUACAUAGAAGGAGAGAGGGUCUCUGUUUGUAUUGUGGGAGGACAUCUCCACUUAUUUUGUCCUGAAAGGCUGGAAAACUCCAGAGCCUCUAACUGAGGACCGACCUUGGGUGUUUUAAUUGAGUCUUCCACGUCAAGAAAAUCAGAAAAACUGCUUCUUAUACCUAUCACCUUGAAAUAUGAGGGAAAAGAGAUACAUACUUCUGCUCUAUUCGAUUCUGGGGCUGCAGAAAGUUUUAUUGAUAAAAUUUUGCUCAUAAAUAUUCUCUUCCUCUCAGAGAAAAAAAACUACACCCUUGGAUGUUCAGGCCAUAAAUGGUAGACCUUUGGUAGAACCCACUAUCACUAAAGAAACCAUUCCUAUUUUUAUGACGGUUGGUGUUCUUCAUAAAGAAGUAAUAGUCCUACAGUCCAUUUCGUCACCUUUAUUUCCUAUCGUUCUAGGUUAUCCAUGGCUAACUAAGCAUAACCCAGUUAUAGAUUGGGAGAAGGGUGAACUAGUGAAGUGGGGUUCUUCUUGUAUCAAAUGGGGUGUUUCUAAAAAUUAAACCUCUUGGCAUCAUCAAUGUACCUACUUUGCCCCCUUUAUCCACAAAGACACCAGAGAUAUAUUGGGAUAUAGUGGAAGUAUUUGAUAAGAGGGAAGCCGAUAAGUUGCCUCCACAUCGUUCUUAUGAUUGUGCCAUUGAGUUACUUCCUGAAACUAUGCUACCUAGGGGGUUCUGUAUAUCCUCUUUCUCAGAAGGAGAAUCUCACCAAAGGUUUUAUUUGCAGGUCUUCUUCACCUGCUGGAGCAGUAUUCUUUUUCGUUUCAAAAAAGGAGGGGGAUCUUAGGCGAUGCAUCGAUUAUCGUGGACUAAAUAAGGUAACAGUUCGUAACGUAUAUCCUAUACCUCUUAUGACAG